Molecule: long non-coding RNA, 370 nt
Organism: Nerophis ophidion (straightnose pipefish)
Lineage: Eukaryota; Metazoa; Chordata; Actinopteri; Syngnathiformes; Syngnathidae
Exons: 3
Source: RefSeq, a predicted model, not a curated record
AUCACUUACUGUACAAGGUAUGCUGUCAUUAGGAUGCAAGCUGCUAAGAUGGGGGUAGAAGGAACAAGCACUUUUUGUGUCUUUCUCGCCAGUUCCAGGUCCUAAUUGGCUGUCAUGGUGUCCCAACUUGUUGGAUUACCUACUCAGACGUCUUCUGUGCAGGACAAAUCUUCUUGUCUGAGGGGUUGCCUCAGCCGCAGAUGUUAUCUUUGUUUUGGCCCGCUAACAGCCAAAGACUUCAAGGACCUCAACGAAGAGGCGGCCUCAGUGAUGUUGACUGUUGAACUCCUGAAUAAACAGAGGGACGCGGGAGCUGUACCUUAGAGCGUAGGGCGAGACGGUGACUAAGUGUGCAGCUCCAUGCCUUCUC